GAUGAACGCUGGCGGCGUGCCUAAUACAUGCAAGUCGAGCGAACGGACGAGAAGCUUGCUUCUCUGAUGUUAGCGGCGGACGGGUGAGUAACACGUGGAUAACCUACCUAUAAGACUGGGAUAACUUCGGGAAACCGGAGCUAAUACCGGAUGAUAUUUUGAACCGCAUGGUUCAAAAGUGAAAGACGGUCUUGCUGUCACUUAUAGAUGGAUCCGCGCUGCAUUAGCUAGUUGGUAAGGUAACGGCUUACCAAGGCAACGAUGCAUAGCCGACCUGAGAGGGUGAUAGCCCACACUGGAACUGAGACACGGUCAAGACUCCUACGGGAGGCAGCAGUAGGGAAUCGUCCGCAAUGGGCGAAAGCCUGACGGAGCAAGGCCGCGUGAGUGAUGAAGGUCUUCGGAGCGUAAAACUCUGUUAUGAGGGAAGAACAUAUGUGUAAGUAACUGUGCACAUCUUGACGGUACCUAAUCAGAAAGCCACGGCUAACUACGUG
RNAcentral lists this ribosomal RNA (497 nucleotides) under uncultured bacterium. Its description in RNAcentral is "partial 16S ribosomal RNA". It matches the Rfam family "Bacterial small subunit ribosomal RNA", at positions 28 to 507 of the family's 1533-position model. The record is from RNAcentral.